GAUGAACGCUAGCUACAGGCUUAACACAUGCAAGUCGAGGGGCAGCAUGGUCUUAGCUUGCUAAGGCUGAUGGCGACCGGCGCACGGGUGAGUAACACGUAUCCAACCUGCCGUCUACUCUUGGCCAGCCUUCUGAAAGGAAGAUUAAUCCAGGAUGGGAUCAUGAGUUCACAUGUCCGCAUGAUUAAAGGUAUUUUCCGGUAGACGAUGGGGAUGCGUUCCAUUAGAUAGUAGGCGGGGUAACGGCCCACCUAGUCAACGAUGGAUAGGGGUUCUGAGAGGAAGGUCCCCCACAUUGGAACUGAGACACGGUCCAAACUCCUACGGGAGGCAGCAGUGAGGAAUAUUGGUCAAUGGGCGAUGGCCUGAACCAGCCAAGUAGCGUGAAGGAUGACUGCCCUAUGGGUUGUAAACUUCUUUUAUAAAGGAAUAAAGUCGGGUAUGCAUACCCG
RNAcentral lists this ribosomal RNA (452 nucleotides) under uncultured bacterium. RNAcentral describes it as "bacterial SSU rRNA". It matches the Rfam family "Bacterial small subunit ribosomal RNA", at positions 28 to 467 of the family's 1533-position model. The record is from RNAcentral.